AUUCCAGCUCCAAUAGCGUAUAUUAAAGUUGUUGCAGUUAAAACGCUCGUAGUCGGAUUUCGGGGCGGGCCGACCGGUCUGCCGAUGGGUAUGCACUGGCCGGCGCGUCCUUCCACCCGGAGACCGCGCCUACUCUUAACUGAGCGGGCGCGGGAGACGGGUCUUUUACUUUGAAAAAAUCAGAGUGUUUCAAGCAGGCAGUCGCUCUUGCAUGGAUUAGCAUGGGAUAAUGAAAUAGGACUCUGGUGCUAUUUUGUUGGUUUCGAACACCGGAGUAAUGAUUAACAGGGACAGUUGGGGGUAUUCGUAUUCAAUUGUCAGAGGUGAAAUUCUUGGAUUUAUUGAAGACGAACUACUGCGAAAGCAUUUACCAGGGAUGUUUUCAUCG
RNAcentral lists this ribosomal RNA (388 nucleotides) under Gephyrocapsa cf. muellerae. RNAcentral's name for it is "partial small subunit ribosomal RNA". It matches the Rfam family "Eukaryotic small subunit ribosomal RNA", at positions 582 to 975 of the family's 1831-position model. Lineage: Eukaryota; Haptophyta; Isochrysidales; Noelaerhabdaceae. The record is from RNAcentral.